RNAcentral lists this ribosomal RNA (256 nucleotides) under uncultured bacterium. Its description in RNAcentral is "partial 16S ribosomal RNA". It matches the Rfam family "Bacterial small subunit ribosomal RNA", at positions 99 to 353 of the family's 1533-position model. The record is from RNAcentral.
CGGACGGGUGAGUAACGCGUAGGCAACCUGCCUUAUGCAGAGGGAUAGCCAUUGGAAACGAUGAUUAAAACCUCAUAACGCCGGAGAGUCACAUGGUUUUCCGGCCAAAGAUUUAUCGGCAUAAGAUGGGCCUGCGUCUGAUUAGUUAGUUGGUGGGGUAACGGCCUACCAAGGCGACGAUCAGUAGCCGACCUGAGAGGGUGAUCGGCCACAUUGGAACUGAGACACGGUCCAAACUCCUACGGGAGGCAGCAUG